This 1371-nucleotide ribosomal RNA is filed under the name uncultured bacterium. Its description in RNAcentral is "16S ribosomal RNA". It matches the Rfam family "Bacterial small subunit ribosomal RNA", at positions 30 to 1396 of the family's 1533-position model. The record is from RNAcentral.
UGAACGCUAGCUACAGGCUUAACACAUGCAAGUCGAGGGGCAGCAUGGUCUUAGCUUGCUAAGGCCGAUGGCGACCGGCGCACGGGUGAGUAACACGUAUCCAACCUGCCGUCUACUCUUGGACAGCCUUCUGAAAGGAAGAUUAAUACAAGAUGGCAUCAUGAGUCCGCAUGUUCACAUGAUUAAAGGUAUUCCGGUAGACGAUGGGGAUGCGUUCCAUUAGAUAGUAGGCGGGGUAACGGCCCACCUAGUCUUCGAUGGAUAGGGGUUCUGAGAGGAAGGUCCCCCACAUUGGAACUGAGACACGGUCCAAACUCCUACGGGAGGCAGCAGUGAGGAAUAUUGGUCAAUGGGCGAGAGCCUGAACCAGCCAAGUAGCGUGAAGGAUGACUGCCCUAUGGGUUGUAAACUUCUUUUAUAAAGGAAUAAAGUCGGGUAUGGAUACCCGUUUGCAUGUACUUUAUGAAUAAGGAUCGGCUAACUCCGUGCCAGCAGCCGCGGUAAUACGGAGGAUCCGAGCGUUAUCCGGAUUUAUUGGGUUUAAAGGGAGCGUAGAUGGAUGUUUAAGUCAGUUGUGAAAGUUUGCGGCUCAACCGUAAAAUUGCAGUUGAUACUGGAUAUCUUGAGUCCAGUUGAUGCAGGCGGAAAUCGUGGGGUAGCGGUGAAAUGCUUAGAUAUCACCAAGAACUCCCAUUGCGAAGGCAGCCUGCUAAGCUGCAACUGACAUUGAGGCUCGAAAGUGUGGGUAUCAAACAGGAUUAGAUACCCUGGUAGUCCACACGGUAAACGAUGAAUACUCGCUGUUUGCGAUAUACGGCAAGCGGCCAAGCGAAAGCGUUAAGUAUUCCACCUGGGGAGUACGCCGGCAACGGUGAAACUCAAAGGAAUUGACGGGGGCCCGCACAAGCGGAGGAACAUGUGGUUUAAUUCGAUGAUACGCGAGGAACCUUACCCGGGCUUAAAUUGCAGAUGAAUUACGGUGAAAGCCGUAAGCCGCAAGGCAUCUGUGAAGGUGCUGCAUGGUUGUCGUCAGCUCGUGCCGUGAGGUGUCGGCUUAAGUGCCAUAACGAGCGCAACCCUUGUUGUCAGUUACUAACAGGUUCCGCUGAGGACUCUGACAAGACUGCCAUCGUAAGAUGUGAGGAAGGUGGGGAUGACGUCAAAUCAGCACGGCCCUUACGUCCGGGGCUACACACGUGUUACAAUGGGGGGUACAGAGGGCCGCUACCACGCGAGUGGAUGCCAAUCCCCAAAACCUCUCUCAGUUCGGACUGGAGUCUGCAACCCGACUCCACGAAGCUGGAUUCGCUAGUAAUCGCGCAUCAGCCACGGCGCGGUGAAUACGUUCCCGGGCCUUGUACACACCGCCCG